Nannospalax galili (Upper Galilee mountains blind mole rat) is the source of this 132-nucleotide small nucleolar RNA. The record is from Ensembl. NCBI's taxonomy places the organism in Eukaryota, Metazoa, Chordata, Mammalia, Rodentia, Spalacidae.
AAUCCAAUUAUCUAAUCUGCUUAUCUGAAUGUGGAACUGCAGAGAUAUAGAAAAAGCUGGAAAUAGUAAGGCCAUAUUAAUGCACCUUAAGGAUAGCUACGGUCAUUAAGGUCCCCGAGAAUGGCUAUAAUA